AUCAAAUUAGAGCUUGAUAGGAAGCUUUUCAUUUACACUGAGAGGAUUAUUGUGCAAUUCAAUUUAGUUUGAU
RNAcentral lists this transfer RNA (73 nucleotides) under Phenes raptor. RNAcentral describes it as "tRNA-Val". The record is from RNAcentral. Lineage: Eukaryota; Metazoa; Arthropoda; Insecta; Odonata; Petaluridae.